UUUUUUUCAUUAAUUUUGUUUAGUCCUUAGGGAGAAUAAACCCCACUAAUUUCUAAUUAUUGAAAAUCAAUAUCAGGUUCAACAUAUGAAAUGUUAUUUUAUAAAAAUGGGCGUCGUGAGACACCACAAGUUUAAGUUUUGGUUACGUGGGACGCAAAAGUCGGAUCCAAGUCAAUGAAGACUCUUCACCUUCCUUUGUUUUUUGCUGACAAUCAAUGCCCAACUGAGUUGAACAGAGACUGAAAGUAAAAAGAGGUGUGGUAAUGAUCCUUCCGCAGGUUCACCUACGGAAA
Molecule: unclassified non-coding RNA, 293 nt
Filed under: uncultured fungus
Lineage: Eukaryota; Fungi
Description: sequence contains ITS1
Source: RNAcentral